UACGAAGGGGGCUAGCGUUGUUCGGAAUUACUGGGCGUAAAGCGCGCGCAGGCGGUUUUUCAAGUCAGUGGUGAAAGCCCGGAGCUCAACUCCGGAAAUGCCAUUGAAACUGUUAAACUUGAGGAUGAGAGAGGUGAGUGGAAUUCCCAGUGUAGAGGUGAAAUUCGUAGAUAUUGGGAAGAACACCGGUGGCGAAGGCGGCCUUCUGGGACAUUCUUGACGCUGAGACGCGAAAGCGUGGGUAGCAAACAGG
Molecule: ribosomal RNA, 253 nt
Filed under: uncultured bacterium
Lineage: Bacteria
Description: partial 16S ribosomal RNA
Rfam family: Bacterial small subunit ribosomal RNA
Source: RNAcentral